Acanthosepion pharaonis is the source of this 109-nucleotide non-coding RNA. Lineage: Eukaryota; Metazoa; Mollusca; Cephalopoda; Sepiida; Sepiidae. The record is from the annotation of a GenBank genome assembly.
UUACGGUCAUAUUACGCGGAAACACCGGUUCCGGUGCGCCCACCGAAGUUGAGCAUCAUACAGCCUUGUCAGUACCUCGAUGGGUGACCGCUUGGGAAUACCAAGUGUU